GACGAACGCUGGCGGCGUGCUUAACACAUGCAAGUCGAACGGAAAGGCCCCUUUGGGGGUACUCGAGUGGCGAACGGGUGAGUAACACGUGAGUAACCUGCCCUUGACUUCGGGAUAACUUCAGGAAACUGGGGCUAAUACCGGAUAGGAAUCCUUGCUGCAUGGUGGGGGUUGGAAAGCUUCGGCGGUUUUGGAUGGACUCGCGGCUUAUCAGCUUGUUGGUGGGGUAGUGGCUUACCAAGGCUUUGACGGGUAGCCGGCCUGAGAGGGCGACCGGCCACAUUGGGACUGAGAUACGGCCCAGACUCCUACGGGAGGCAGCAGUGGGGAAUAUUGCACAAUGGGCGGAAGCCUGAUGCAGCAACGCCGCGUGCGGGAUGACGGCCUUCGGGUUGUAAACCGCUUUCAGCAGGGGCGAAGCUUGUGGUGACGGUACCUGCAGAAGAAGCACCGGCUAACUACGU
RNAcentral lists this ribosomal RNA (464 nucleotides) under uncultured bacterium. RNAcentral describes it as "partial 16S ribosomal RNA". It matches the Rfam family "Bacterial small subunit ribosomal RNA", at positions 28 to 506 of the family's 1533-position model. The record is from RNAcentral.